Molecule: ribosomal RNA, 447 nt
Filed under: uncultured bacterium
Lineage: Bacteria
Description: partial 16S ribosomal RNA
Rfam family: Bacterial small subunit ribosomal RNA
Source: RNAcentral
AGCGAACGCUGGCGGCAGGCUUAACACAUGCAAGUCGGACGGUCCUUCGGGAUAGUGGCGGACGGGUGAGUAACACGUGGGAACGUACCCUUAGGUUCGGAACAACACAGGGAAACUUGUGCUAAUACCGGAUGAGCCCGUCGGGGGAAAGAUUUAUCGCCUUUGGAGCGGCCCGCGUCUGAUUAGCUUGUUGGUGAGGUAAUGGCUCACCAAGGCUACGAUCAGUAGCUGGUCUGAGAGGAUGGCCAGCCACACUGGGACUGAGACACGGCCCAGACUCCUACGGGAGGCAGCAGUGGGGAAUCUUGCGCAAUGGGCGAAAGCCUGACGCAGCCAUGCCGCGUGGAUGAUGAAGGUCUUAGGAUUGUAAAAUCCUUUCACCGGGGACGAUAAUGACGGUACCCGGAGAAGAAGCCCCGGCUAACUUCGUGCCAGCCGCCGCCGUAA